RNAcentral lists this ribosomal RNA (473 nucleotides) under uncultured organism. RNAcentral's name for it is "partial 16S ribosomal RNA". It matches the Rfam family "Bacterial small subunit ribosomal RNA", at positions 335 to 799 of the family's 1533-position model. The record is from RNAcentral.
ACUCCUACGGGAGGCAGCAGUGGGGAAUUUUGGACAAUGGGCGAAAGCCUGAUCCAGCAAUGCCGCGUGUGUGAAGAAGGCCUUCGGGUUGUAAAGCACUUUUGUCCGGAAAGAAAUCCUUGGCUCUAAUACAGUCGGGGGAUGACGGUACCGGAAGAAUAAGCACCGGCUAACUACGUGCCAGCAGCCGCGGUAAUACGUAGGGUGCGAGCGUUAAUCGGAAUUACUGGGCGUAAAGCGUGCGCAGGCGGUUUGCUAAGACCGAUGUGAAAUCCCCGGGCUCAACCUGGGAACUGCAGUGGUGACUGGCAGGCUAGAGUAUGGCAGAGGGGGGUAGAAUUCCACGUGUAGCAGUGAAAUGCGUAGAGAUGUGGAGGAAUACCGAUGGCGAAGGCAGCCCCCUGGGCCAAUACUGACGCUCAUGCACGAAAGCGUGGGGAGCAAACAGGAUUAGAAACCCGUGUAGUCCCAUA